Molecule: ribosomal RNA, 496 nt
Filed under: uncultured bacterium
Lineage: Bacteria
Description: partial 16S ribosomal RNA
Rfam family: Bacterial small subunit ribosomal RNA
Source: RNAcentral
AUGAACGCUGGCGGCGUGCCUAAUACAUGCAAGUCGAGCGAACGGACGAGAAGCUUGCUUCUCUGAUGUUAGCGGCGGACGGGUGAGUAACACGUGGAUAACCUACCUAUAAGACUGGGAUAACUUCGGGAAACCGGAGCUAAUACCGGAUAAUAUUUUGAACCGCAUGGUUCAAAAGUGAAAGACGGUCUUGCUGUCACUUAUAGAUGGAUCCGCGCUGCAUUAGCUAGUUGGUAAGGUAACGGCUUACCAAGGCAACGAUGCAUAGCCGACCUGAGAGGGUGAUCGGCCACACUGGAAAUGAGACACGGUCCAGACUCCUACGGGAGGCAGCAGUAGGGAAUCUUCCGCAAUGGGCGAAAGCCUGACGGAGCAACGCCGCGUGAGUGAUGAAGGUCUUCGGAUCGUAAAACUCUGUUAUUAGGGAAGAACAUAUGUGUAAGUAACUGUGCACAUCUUGACGGUACCUAAUCAGAAAGCCACGGCUAACUACGUG